Molecule: long non-coding RNA, 324 nt
Filed under: Neodiprion pinetum (white pine sawfly)
Lineage: Eukaryota; Metazoa; Arthropoda; Insecta; Hymenoptera; Diprionidae
Description: uncharacterized LOC124220356
Source: RNAcentral
GUCCGAUUAACAUAUGUGCACACAAUUCGCGGAUUGAGAGAAUUAUUUUUUUUUAACCGAGAGACACUUUACGUGAAACGAAGUGCAUCAUCGAAAUACGCAAACUACUUCGACAGCGCGUUCUUAAUCAUAAAUAAAUAUAGCGAGAUACUCCAAUCCUAGGAAGAAUGACCAUGUUUGCAUCUAACGCCCCUGGCGAGGUCAUAGACGCUAUAAGGCCGGAUCUGGAGGCAUUCACAUCGCUGUGGACAGCUCUGAGGGUGAAUUACGAGGGCACGAAUAUCACGAGGACCGUAGCUCGUCUGCUCCACAUGUAUCAGCCCG